This 402-nucleotide ribosomal RNA is filed under the name Bacteroidota bacterium. RNAcentral's name for it is "Bacteroidetes bacterium partial 16S ribosomal RNA". It matches the Rfam family "Bacterial small subunit ribosomal RNA", at positions 355 to 776 of the family's 1533-position model. The record is from RNAcentral. Lineage: Bacteria; Pseudomonadati; Bacteroidota.
UGGGGAAUUUUGCACAAUGGGGGAAACCCUGAUGCAGCGACGCCGCGUGAUUUAGAAGGCCUUCGGGUUGUAAAAAUCUUUUGUAUAGGAAGAAAAUGACAGUACUAUACGAAUAAGGACCGGCUAAAUACGUGCCAGCAGCCGCGGUAAUACGUAAGGUCCGAGCGUUGUCCGGAAUCAUUGGGCGUAAAGGGUACGUAGGCGGGUAAGCAAGUUAGAAGUGAAAUCCUAUAGCUCAACUAUAGUAAGCUUUUAAAACUGCUCAUCUUGAGGUAUGGAAGGGAAAGUGGAAUUCCUAGUGUAGCGGUGAAAUGCGCAGAUAUUAGGAGGAAUACCGGUGGCGAAGGCGACUUUCUGGCCAUAACCUGACGCUGAGGUACGAAAGCGUGGGUAGCAAACAGG